AGGGUGCACUUGAGUAUGCAAAAGCGAUGGAAGAACUAAAUCAAGUUGUGACAAGAAUAGUAUUUGAAAACUACGGUGUAGAGAAGUAUCAUGAUGCUCACGUUCAAUCAACUUCUUACCAUCUCCGAUUCAAUAAAUACAAAAAUCCCAAGAAAACUGGGGAUGUGGGGUUAACCCCUCAUACGGACAAUAGCUUCUCCACCAUACUUCAUCAAAACCAGGUCUGUGGUCUGGAGAUGUAUACAAAGGAUGGUGACUGGAUAGUCUUUGAUCCACUGCCGUCAUCCGUUAUAUACCUAGAAGGAGAUGUAUUUCAGAUUUGGAGCAAUGAUAAAAUACGACCUUGUAGACAUAAAGUUUCGUUGACGACGAUGGGGUAAGAUUCUCGGUUAGGCAAUUCACAUUAAUGAAAGACGUGGUGAGCAUACCACACGAACUCGUGGACGAGGAUCACCCUCGACUGUACAAGCCACUGGAUCAUGUAGAAUUUUUCAAAGAAGUACUUGACGGUAAGGCUGACCCUACAGUCCAGGAAUACUGUCGCAUUUGAGUUCUUUGGUCCAAGGUCCAAGCGGCUGGUUCCUCUUUUGCCCUUUAUUUUCUACUGUCAUGUAUUUUCUUUUCUUUUAUUGUUUCUUCCUUUUAGAUUGCUAUCGUUAAAUAAGAUGUUUUCUUGUUAGAGACCAUGUAACUCAAUUUGUUAAGAACCCUCCCACGCCUGAGGUCUUGAACGACCCCUCCUACACUGUCGCUUGUAUUAAAGAAAAAAGAAAGUAGAUGUUUUCUCAAUAAAGUAUUGUCGCAUUUGAAAUGA
Long non-coding RNA from Malus domestica (apple), 814 nucleotides. RefSeq lists it as uncharacterized. The record is from RefSeq and is a predicted model, not a curated record. NCBI's taxonomy places the organism in Eukaryota, Viridiplantae, Streptophyta, Magnoliopsida, Rosales, Rosaceae.